This 34114-nucleotide long non-coding RNA is filed under the name Gossypium barbadense (sea-island cotton). RNAcentral describes it as "long non-coding RNA (GBAR_LNC016690)". Lineage: Eukaryota; Viridiplantae; Streptophyta; Magnoliopsida; Malvales; Malvaceae. The record is from RNAcentral.
CCUUCUCUUCCCCGUCUUUAUCCACAGGGAGAAACUCAAAGUAUGCCAUGUUUGGGAGAAAGGUGUAAGAGAUAUCGUAGGGGUUGCUUAGAGGAUUUAAAUUGAUCCCGAAAGUAGACUCCAAAGAACCAUAACAGCUUGGUGAAACUAAAGGGAUCCCACCACCAUAAAAAUCAAGCAAUGAAAUGUAUUGGCUCAUGGUACCAGUAAUAACGGAAUUAAUAUAUUUUGCUUUAGGCCAAAGUUUCUUAAUAAUCCCUUCCCAUGAUUCAUUACCAUAUAUGUGUUCAAUCGUAUCAGCCAAUUCUGGAUUAGGCCUAGUCAGGAUCGAUGACACUGCGUUCCUACAACCAGGGUCAGUAAUCCAAUCACUAAGGCAACCAGUUCUUAUGUUCGAACACAGUUCGUUCCAGUGAUCUUGUAAGAACUUGAUGCUCCUUGCCAAAACGGAUCCAAAGAUCGAACUGAUUGAAACAACAUGAUCACGUUGCAGCAAACCAGUAAGCAAUUGGCAGUACAUACUUUGCUUGUGAUCCAAGCAGAGAAUCGUCUCAAUAGGACUUGUGCAGAUCUUAGGCACACUUUUCUUGAAGUUAUCGCUCAUGAAAUAGCACGAUGAGAGCGUUCUCACUGUUAAACCUGAUGGAGUUUCACUCCCUUUUUUGACAAAAAAAAGGCUCAUUGUGAUGGCGGCCGUAAGUAGUGUACACCGCACAGAAAGAUACAAAUCCUUUAAAUUAUUGCAUUACAUAAAAAAAUUAUAAGAACUUUUAUAAAUAAAAAAUAAGAAUAUACAUUAAAAGUUAAAAAAUGCAUUUGGUCUCGUAUGAAUUUGGUUAAAUUCUGAUAUUAGUCCCUGUACAUUAUAAAAGCUAUUGAUUUAGUCCAUAUAAUUUAAUUUGGUCAUCUUUAGUCCUUGUACUUUUUAAAUUUGAAAAUUUCAAUUCUCACCAAAUGAUGAUUGUUAAAUUCACUAAGUUAAGUUUUUAUUAUUUCCAAAAUCUGAUGUGCCAAAUAAAUUAUCAUAUGUGUAAUAUCAUGUCAGCUUGUUAUUUCCACAUGUUACUUACAAAAAUAACAGUUAAUGGAUUAACGACUAUCAUUUACGUCAAGAUUGAAAUUUCAAGAUUAACGAUUAUCAGUUAAUGGACUUCUAUUUUCAUUCGUUGGUCUUUGUGAACAUCUCUGCCUUCAAGAUAGUCUUUGGCAGACAUUCCACAUAAGAUAGUCAUUGGUUGACUUUUCGCGUAAGAUGGUCUUUGGUGGACUUCCUUUUUGCUGGCGACCUUGUUGCCAAUACACAUUUAGGAAUAAGUUCUGUAGAACCGUCUCACUUCCUUAUGACCCUUGUUGACUUGUCUCUUACCUCUGGUGGACUCUUAUUAACGAAUACUUCUUUGCAAUUACUCUGAAGAAAAUAUCUUUGUUUUUUUCCACACAUAUCUACGCACAAGGCAUUUUUACAUAUUCCUCAUGCCUUCCUAUCUUGACUGCACGUUUGUCUGCGUUCCUAUAUGUUAUAACUAUUGUAACUAACUUCUUCACGAGAGUCAUAUAAGGGUUUCCACAUAUAUACCCCGACUGACUUUCCUGUUUAUUGCCCCGGUGGACUUCAUUUUGUCAAAAGGUGUACCUAUCUUUCAUUGAAUCAUGCCAUGACUCUCCAUGGACUUUCGACUCUGAGGAUUCAAUAAACCUCUUUCGAAGUGACGCUCUGUACAACCUGUAGAUAAUCAUUUCAUGGUGUCGCUUCGUAAAGCUUAUAGAUAAUCAUUUUCAUGGUGUCGCUCUAUAGAGCCUGUAGAUAACCAUACCACGAUGCUGCUAAACUUCCUCAAAUCCCCUAUCAAUCUGUCUAUUCCUCCAUUAUGCCAAUUUUUCUAUCUUCAACUAACCCACCAAAGUAACUUCCUUCAUACUCUGCAUUUUAUAUCCAUACAUUUCACGCAUAACAUUAUGCCUACUAUCAUAACAUGUAGUACGCCACAUGUUAAUACAUCAAUACACAACCAUAUUUUGCACCCAGAGAACAUACUUGCAAGCAUUCAUAUAUUUAUAUAGCUUUAUGCAUACAUAACUUUCUCAUUCACCAUAAUAAUAUACAACCAUGGAAUUCAAACUGAACCUAGAGCAAAACAUUCAAGCAGCACCAUAACCAACAAACACCCAAAAGUGGAGUACGAAACUCAUCUGUUAUCCUUCGUCCUCAAUAGCUUAGCUUUUUUAUAUGACAGAGCGUCCUUCAUCCUAGCAGCUAAGCAUGACAACCAAUUAUAUUGGUUAAACAGAAGGAAUUUGAACUUAAAACCUAGAAUCCAAUAUCUUGUAGAAACUUUUUUCUCAAAUAUUUCAAAAAUCAUUACUUCUCUUUUUCUCAAUUUUACUAAUACAAAGAGAUGAAGAAGCUUACAGCUCACCGGAUUCUCUAUUUUCUAUACUCAAACCUCAUAAUCAUUGUCUCAUGUAGAGCUUUCCUCAACUUUCUCUUCUUCGAAGCAAAUAAAGAAGAUGAUGCAGACGAGAAGAAAAUGAAACAGAAAUGAGAAGAAUUUUACCUCCCGAAAAAUCCUUCUCACACAUAUAUAUAACCAUUCUUGCAUAGUCACCAAAGUCUCAAAUAACCUAUAAUCAGUGAUCAUUCUGCUUCCCACUAAAGAACAAGCUAGUUCCAACUUAAUUGAACCAGAAUUGAGACCUAACUUAUUACCAUUCAGUCACUAAAAUUCCCAGAUUUUUUCAUGGAGCCCACCAACUAAAUAUCCUUUUCAAUUAAUCCCAAAUCUUUCUUAAUUUUGAACCUUAAUAGAAAUUGAGUAUAACAUGCCUCGAACGAGUCGAUUCUAACUCCUUAACAGAUAAGGAAAUUGUUGCUUUACCGAUCACCGUUGAACCCUGUAAAAUGUAAAGACUAUCGGUCUCUCGACCUCUCUUUAGAAUGAGAGCUAUACGAGAUACUUUAAUGCUGAUUAACUUGAUGGUGAUCCUACAGCCCUGUAACACCCCUUACCCGUAUCCAACGCCGGAACAGGGUAUGAGGCAUUACCAGAACACUUACACAUGUAAACCUAUUAAACCGAGUUACAAAAUUUCAUUCAAAUUUAAAACUUUCAAAAUUAUUAACAUGCUUUUAUAACUCUUCACAAUAUAUAUAUAAUGCAACAUUUUCUGCCAACCACACUAUCAAAUAAUGGAUUUACUCAAUCGAGCUCAAUAUCAGAUGUCAACUUAUAAUCCAACAUUUAACUCCAAUUGCACUUUCAAAUACUUGUUAAAUUAAGGAUCGUAUUACGGAUUUGAGUACAUUGUUUGCCCGGUGUCACAAUUUGCUUGAAUUUUUCACAAUGCUAUAACUUAUAAAUUUAACGUGGCAUGGUCUAGCCACUACUUGGCCAAAGCCUAAGCAUGUAUACCAAAUAUGUACGCCAAAUAUAUAUAUAACAUAAGCAUUAUAAGUAUGGAUGAGCACAACAUUUAUUCAUGUAUCGGGCUUACCAACAUGUUUUAAUUCAUAAACCAUUCAUGGUCUUACUUCAUGCCAAAUCAUGUACCGAAUAAUUUAGCUUUCUUAACACAUUUAUUUGCUUUUACUAUUGCUCACAUAAGAUUUAUAGAGCAUAGAGCCUUGUAUAUAACACCGGCAUAAAGCCUGCUAGGCACCAAGCCCGAUACAUUUCACCGGCACAAAGCCUGCUAGACAUAAAGUCUGAUAUAAUUCACCGGCAUAAAGCCUGCUAGGCAUAAAGCCUGAUAUAAUUCACCGGCAUAAAGCCUGCUAGGCAUAAAGCCUGAACUUACAAAAUCAGUCUUUCACAUAAUUCACAUCUAAUUUAAAUCAUUCUCGAAAUAUAAUCAAAUCACAAUAUUACAUUCGGCACUAGCUUAUAUAACUUCAAAUAAUUCAUUUCAUACAUUUUAUUGUCCUCCUCCUCCUCUCCAAUCCACAUCCGUUACGUAUAAAACAUGCUUAAAUAGCAUUAUACAUUAUUUCACUAUUCACUUAUAUUAAAAUUUAAAGUUGUCUAUUUGAGUCAGAGUCACUAAAUUAUUUUUAUCCGGAGCUACAGAGCUCCAAAUUAAGAUCUAUAAAUUUUCUUCACAUGAUUUCACAGCAAUAUAAAUUUAAUCACACAUAAAUUUUAAGGUUUGCUUAAUUUCCAGCAAGCUAUCUUUCUGCAUCACAGACGCUAAUUUAUUUUUAUCUGGAGCUACAGGGCUCCAAAUUAAGUUCCGUAAAUUUUUCCUGAAACUAGACUAAUAUACCUUUCCACCAUAAAAAUUUCAGAAUUUUUGACUUAGCCAAUUAGUACAGUUUAUUCUUUAAAAUUUCCCCUAUUUCUCUGCUCAACAACUCUGACCUCUCUUCACUAAAAAUUAAAUAUCUCAUUGUACAGAAUUCAAAUGAUGUUUCCACUAAUAUAAAUUAUAACUCAAAACUAUUUUUUUACAAUUUUUAAUUAUUUUCCAAAGUAAGAACAGGGGAUUCCGAAAUCAAUCCGACCUUGCCUCACUAAAAUUCAAAUAUCUCAAAAUGUAUAACUCUUUUGCUUGCUCUGUUUCUUUCAUAUGAAAAUAUACUUCUUAAGCUUUCAUUUCAUAUCUUAUUCACUCUCUAAUUAAAUUUUCAUUAUUUUUGGUGAUUUUUCAAAGUUACACUAUUGUUACUAUCUAAAACUGUUUUCUUGUACAUUUUACUUUUUCAUAAUUUCAUUACUUCUUUUCAUCUUACUCAAGGGUCAAUUAAAUAUCGAACCCAAUAUUUGUCACGUAAACUUAUUCAAUUCACACAUAUUUUCACUUAUCCAAUUUCCCCGAUGAACACUUCGGAAUAUUAACCGUUACACGGUGGAAUCAGCACUUUCCUCAAUACACAUAUACAUUAAAGGCCGAAUACAUAUAUAUUCAAAUAUGCAAUCACAUAAUUCAUAUUUCACAUAACUUCAUAUCAUCAAUUCAAGUAUACAACUUACCUUAUUUUCAAAUAGAUAAUUCAAUUAUCACAUACCUGGUCACUUAGCCUGAUUUAAACAUUUGUACACAACUUAUUUUUACCCGUUGAACCAUUCGGAAUUAAAAAGGAUACUCGGAUAGUCGGAAGGCUCGUACAAUGCCAACGUCCCAGACGUGGUCUUACAUGUAAUCACAUAUGAUGCCACUGUCCCAGACAGGGUCUUACACAAAUCAAAUACGAUGCCAAUGUCCCGGACAUGGUCUUACACGUAUACACAAGUCGAUGCCAACGUCCCAGACGUGGUCUUACACGAAAAUACAUAUCAAAAUCCUAUGUCAUGACAUAUGUAUCCUAACUAUUCCUAAGGCUCAUACGGGUCUUUCGAAUGUCGUAACUCAGUCGAAACGAACUCAUAAACAUAGAUGCCAGGCUUGUACACAUUCAGCUAAUAUAUAUUUAUUUACAUGUUCAUUUUAGCAGAUAUAAUUCACAUUUAAUAAAAAAAUUAUAACAUCUAUUUGCUUAUAAACUUACCAUCAUGCUUUCAAGUUCAAUUCCUCAUCUUUCUUGGUUUAUAAUAACAUUUUUAACUUAUUUAACACUCACAUUAUUCAAAACAGUCCUUGACUCAACCUUUGGAAAAAUUACAAUUUUGCCCCUAAACUUUUGCAUAUUUCCAAUUCCGUCCCUAGGCUCGAAAAUUAAAUUUCACACCUUAUUCUUAUAUUUUACAGCAUACUAAACACUUUUCCCUUCUAUGGCAACAUCAAAUUCUCACUCUAACAUACACUUAUGAACAAUAAAUAUUUUUGUAAUUUAGCCCUAAUUACUCAAAUUCAUCAAAAUUUCCAAUACAAAACAUACUAACCCAAAACAUAUCUUCAAUAAUUCAUCAUCAAACAUCACAAAACACAAUUAUUCAUCAAAAUCAGAAAUUGAAGCAUGGGUCGAGUAGUAUUCGAAACAACGAUCUCAAAAACAUAAAAAUCAUCAAAAACCAAAACCAAAACAUACCUUAAUUUGCUUGAGGAAGGGUCGAAUACCCAGCUGGUUUUCUUCUUUUCUUCCCCUUUUCAUUCGGCAGAAAGAUAAUCCCUCCCUCCACUUUCUUAUGCCUUUCCUUUUUAUUAUAAUAACAUUAUAAUAUAUAAAUUAUUAUUAUAACUUUUAUAAAUAGUAUAAAAACUAUAUAUUUUAAACAUAGUGCCGUCCACUAUCUUUUCAAUGGUCAAAUUGCAACAUAAAACCCCCAUAUUUAAAGAACAACCACUAUUCGACCCCUUUUUGAAAUAACCACAAAAUUUUCAUUUUACGCAAUUUAAUCCUUUUAUUUAAUUGGACACUCAAACGACAAAAUUAAAGCACGAAAUUUUCACACAAGUAAAUUUAUACAUAAUAAACACAGAAAAAAAAUUUAAAAUAUUUUUCUAACUUGGAUUCGUUGUCCCGAAACCACUAUUCUGACUAGGGUCAAAAUCGGGUUGUUACAAACCCUUCAAGUCUAAAUUUCCCAAGGAGAUGUGAUUCUUUGUCGAGUCAAGCACAUGCCUAAUAUGUGACAUUAUCUUAAUGAUUCUUUUGUGCACCCUGAUCUGAACGGUGCCAAUACCGAUUAUCUUACAGGGUGAAUUGUUCUCCAUAAGCAUAAAUCCACCUUCAACUAGACUAUAUGUGGAGAACAAGUUCUUGUUUGGACACAUAUGGAAAGAGCACCCUGAAUCCGAAAUACACUUGAACAUAAGUUUAGACCUUUUAGUUGUAGACACCAACAACCAAUCAUCACCAUUGUCUUAGGCCACACUAGCAUCAGCUACCUCAGCCUUCUAUUCCUUGUCACUCUUAACAACCCUCCUGUUUUUGUUUUUCAACUUAUAACAUUCUACUUUUAUGUGACCCAACUUAUUGCAGUAGUUACAUGUCUUGUCACAAUUCCUCGACUUCGAUCUUAACCUAGAUUUGUUCUAACCUGGAUCUUUAGGUUGUUGCCUAUCUCUAGCAACCAAAAGUGAAGCUUGACAACCAAACUUGCUACCUAAACCUAACUCAUUAUCAAGCUUUUCCUUACUCGACAAAUUACCUUUCACAUAUUCAAAUGAGAAUUUAUCUCUGCCAUAAAUCAAUGUCUUCCUAAAAGUUUUAUACGAAGGGGGCAAAAGCACAAUAAUAGCAUAACAUGCUCUUCAUAGUUUAUAUCAACCUCGACAUUCUUCAGAUCAUUCAAGAGAGUAACGAAUUGACUGAUGUGACCCUUAAGGUUCUUACCUUUGUCCAUAUGGCAUUUGACGUCAGGCCUAUUUUGCGCUUUCUCCGGUUGCUCGUCGAUUGUCUUUAUAUGUGCCUGUAAAGAGUUUGAUAAAUGCGAGGCGCACCCCACAAUAUGUAAAUUGUAAUAAAAACAAAAAAUUGUAAAAAAAAAAUUAUCAUAAUUUUGUAUAAAUUGAAACUAAAAAAAUUUUAAAAGAGCUAAACUUGUUAAAAAACAAAUUCCAUAACAAGUAUACUUAAGUAUAAUGUACUUUUAAAUUAUUUUACAUCCCGUAAAUGAAUCUUAUAUUUCAACCAAAUGAAUCAAAUAAAAUAAUAUCUUAUUCCACCAAUAAUUUUUCAAUUUUGUAAUGGUUGAACCUAAUCUAAGCGAACCAAACGCUUCGAGUACUUUUACCUUUCUUUUUAAAGAACAAUAUUAUUAUUUAAAAUUUUGAUAUUUUGUAUUUUAUAUGAUAAUUAAAAUAUUCUUUUAUAUUCUAUAUUUUCUAUGACCGUUCGAGAGAUGAAAUUGAUGCAAUCAUGGAUUAACAUUUCAAUCGUUUAAUCGAUGAACCAAUAGAUUGAUAUCAAGAACUAAACUUGAAGAAAUAACUAAAAGCAAAUACAAGCUUCUCAUUGAUUCUUUUACCAAAUUUGCUAAGAAAUUGAACCAGAUUUAGGAUACCAAGGAGACAACACUAGCAUCAAAAGCUAUAUUUAUUUCCAUCAAAGGCUCACCUGCUAAAAAGAUAUAAAAAAACUAAUAAGAUUCCAAGUUCAUGCAAGAUUUCCAUUGCUGAAGAACUUCCCAACAACCCUGGAAUCCAGUAUUUCAAUGGCUUCCUUAAUUUUAAGGCAGCAAGAUGUCUUGUAUUGGAGAGGUGCAGCACCCCUCGAUACAAAGAAAUUCAUCAGUUAUUUGAAGGCUUUCGUUUAAGUUGUUGAUCUAUUCAAAAAUUUUUAUUUAAGUUAUUAAACUAUUUUUUUAAAGACCGAUUAGCAAGGUUAAAGUGGCAAUUCAAUGAACAGUAUGAUAGAUCAAUACUCAUCGAUGAGUAAAGAAUGUAUAUUAGAUCAAGUCAAUCUGAUAGUUGAUGUCGAAGAACGGAGAAGAAAACUGUUUGGAUUUUGAUUCGUAGAUACAUGACAUUUAAAGUUAUUUAAAAAAAAAACCCUAAGUUAUAGAAAAGCAAAGGUAGAAGAGUUUUUUUAUUGGUUUAAGUGGACAAACAAUGAAGGCCAUAUAACAAUAGUUAUAGCAACCCAAUUAUGACUUAAAAGAAAAUUUUUAAAUAAUUCAUUAAUGAUAUUUUGUAGCUUUUUAAUAUUAAUUGACCAAAAUGCCAAACCCACGUCUUCCAAGUCAUUUUUGCUCCACUAAUAUAAACAACGAUACAAAGAAUGUUAAAAAAAAUAAGAAAAUUUGUUAGAAAAGCGGUGAUAGAUUUGUUUUUUAAAUUUUAUGGUGAAGAAGAGUUGGUGAAACCACUAACUCAUCUCCGUUGUCUAGGCUUGUGAGAUCAAUUGGAGUUCAUGAAGUGAAAUGCCUAAGUUUGUUAGCAUUUUCCACAUGAGCUUGUCAUCAUAGAUUGAGAGUUUAGGCCCACGAACAUAAUCUAUCAUCUUGAAACUUUAACUCUUCUUCUCAAAUUGUUUUCGUGAUAAAGUCUGGAACAAAUAAGUUGAGUUUUGAUUUUAUCUAUUUGGAUUUGGAUCUCGUAAUUGGGCCUUGAGAGAAACUAAGCUCAUCUCUAUUAUGGCCUUUGAAUUGGGCUGAAUUGCUCGUAUCAAUAUAAAUUUCAGUAAUUCAGUUAACCGACAAAAAUAUUUUAAUUUGGUUAAUGUGUUCGAAAAAAAUUCAAUUCAAUUAACGGUUAAAAUUUUUACAUUUUAAGUAAUUCUAUCCGGUUAAUCAUUUUACGAUCCAUAUUCACCUUUAUUCUAUGGCACAUGCAUAUGCAAAUUAUAGUUUGCUCAUUACUUGUUCAUAGCUUCCUUGCUCAUUACAUUCAAAUGCAAAGAUUGAUCCACGAACAACGUGCCAAAUUUAAAACAAAUUUAAAAAUCUUUAACAGAUUUAAUAAAAGAAUAUCGAUUUAAUUUACCAUGAUGAAUCACAUCACGAUCGUACUGUCAUGGUCUACCAAGUAACAAGUGGACGGCAUCCAUGGGAACGACAUCACACCAAACAUCAUCAAUGUAAGUCCCAAGUUUAAAAGUGAUCAAGUACUGUUUUACCACACGGACCUCCGAACCUUCGUUAAGCCAUUAAAGAUGGUAUGGUGUAGGGUGUUUGCUACAUGACAAUGCAAGAGAACCCAUAAAGAGUUUGCUACAUUACAAAAAUUGAAGUACCAAAUUAUGUCAAAAAUUAAGACAUAGAGAUUAAAUUUCUAAUUUGGGCAUAUUAUAAGGACUAAAAUUGAAAACUAACUAUUGUUAUAUAAUUUCAAAAAGAAAAAUUAAUAAUUUAGUCAAAAUGAAGUAUUUAAAUUGACGAUGACGUUAAAAAGUUGAUGUAUCACAUUAUGUCAAAAAUUAAAAUUAAAAUAUUAAAAUUUAAAUUUAAGAUGAAUAUAAAAAUCAAAACUAAAAGUUAAGAUAUAAUUUCGAAAAAGAAAUAAUAAGUUGUAUAUUUGGAUAUGUAUAUGUCAAAAAAUUCGAAAGAAAUAUUUAAUGAUAUUAUAAAAAUUAAGUACAAAAUUAUGUUAUAAAUUAGUAAGCUUGAAGUAGAUCUCUCAAAAUAUCUUACAUUGCUCACUUUUAUUUCCCUCAGUAAAUAAGGUUAGAUGCAUGAAUUGUUUGACCAUUAAUUUGUUUUUGUUUCCCUCAUUUCAAAUAUAUGAAAUUUUUUAUCACUCAAAUAACAGUAAGAGUAAACUACAUCGCAAGUCAUUUUAAAAUUGCAUCGUUUUUAUUUUGGUCAUUCUUAAUUUAGUAACUCUAAUUAAUGUAAUUGCUCAAAUUGGUCACUAAUGUUAAAAUUUUCGUUAAUCCACUAACAAGUUUUUGACAUAACGUUAAGAUUGACCGGCGUGCUAAAUUUAAAACAAAUUUAAAAAUCUUUAUCGAAUUUUAAUAAAAGAAUAUCGAUUUAAUUUACCAUGAUGAAUAACAUCACGAUCGUACUGUCAUGGUCUACCAAGUAACAAGUGGGCGGCAUGCAUAGGAACGACAUCACACCAAACAUCAUCAAUGUAAGUCCCAAGUUUAAAAGUGAUCAAGUACUGUUUUACCACACGGACCUCCGAACCUUCGUUAAGCCAUUGAAGGUGGUAUGGUGUAGGGUGUUUGCUACAUGACAAAGCAAGAGAAUCCACAAGGUAGCUACUCACAACGUUAGCACAACUUCCACUAUCAAUGAUAAAUGAGCAAAGUUUACCUUUAAUCAAACACCUCAAAUGGAAUAUAUUACUCCUUUGAAGAUCAUAAUCAUCCUUCAAUUGGAUGUUGAGGGUGCGCCUCACAACUAGACAACGGGGAUGAGUUAGUGGUUCCACCAACUCUUCUUCACCAUAAAAUUUACCUCCAUCACCAUUGAAAGUUGUUUUAUGAAAAAAAAACCCUAAACCAUAGAAGAGCAAGGGCAAAAUAGUUUUCUAUUGGUGUAGGAGGUGUGAACGAUAAAGGCUAUAUAGAAGUGAUUUUAAUAAUCUAGUGACUUAAAUAAAAAAUUUCAAAUAGUACUCUAGUAACCAUUUUAUAACUUUUUAAAGUUAAUUGAGAAAAACGUAACAUUGAAUGUAACUUACUCCAAUAAUUUAUUAUUUUUAUGAUGCUAUUUUUUAUACCAUACCUAAGUCACUCCUAAAGUAAAUGAUAUUAGGUGCUCAAUAAUGUUCAAACCCAUGCCCCCAAUUCUUUUUUGCUCGCUCAAUACCUAAAAAACAGCAGUACAAAGAAUAUAGAAAGAAAGUAAGAGAAAACUGACGAGUGUUAAAACACCUCAAUUUUAGCAAUUUUAGAAGAAUUCAUGCAUAAUUUAUACCAAAUUCAUAAACUCUCAAUCUUAUCAUUAAAAUAGUGCGUUGCUUCAUCUAUUUUAAAAAUUUUGACAAAGUCGAUGAAAUCAAUUACUCAUUUUCAUCUUUCAAAUUACUUCGUUGCAGCACCAUCCAUUUGAAAGUGACUGCUGCAGAUUAUCUUAACUCAAAGCUAAUACAAUAAAUGUAAGGGGAAGAUAAAAAGGCUAAAAGAAAAGUAAUAAAAAUAGGAGUUCUUACUUUCUUCACUAACAAUUCUGCCUUUGUGGAUCCUACCAGAGACUUCAUAAUUUCCCUGUUUUUAUCUUCACUUUCUUCUUACUUCUUCUUCACUGCUUUUAAUUUGUUUCCAUGUCCAAGGUCCAUCACAAAUUUUCAAGCAUCCUGUCAAGGUAAUUUUCUUUCAUUUCCUUAAUUCAUCACAUGCUUUUAUUUGCUUUUGAUUAUCUGCUACUGUUAUAGCAGCUAGCUUUGUAAGAUUGUCAAGGAACUCAACUUCACUGCUUCCUUUUCAGUUCUAAUCUCUCAACACUUUUCAGCCACUGAGUCAGGCAAUAAGAUCUGAAGCAAUGAUUUCCUCUACUGAUUAUCAACAGUUUUAGAUUUUAAGAGUGGAUGACCAGCUGACAUAAUCUACUAUAGAUAGAAAUUAAUACAAAAAGAGCUACCCAGAAGCAAUAUAAUGCUGAAAUCUCAAACUGUCAACAUUUUAACUCUUAAUAUUCUGUAAUGAACUCUUGCACACUUGAAUCUAGCAUUUUAUAUACAUCGAGAGCUUGAUUCUGGUAACCAGAAUUUCAUCAUGUUUCUGUCUGCCACCCAUCCAUAGCUCCAUCUAAGAAACGCCAUUGCUUGAAACUUGCAUUCAUGUUUCCUUUUCAUGCUUACACAGACAUAUCAAUACUUCAUCCAAUACAUUCACAGAUUUUCAUUCUCUACUGUUUAUAUAUGAUUGCAUUGCAGGGACAUAGCAAUGGAGUACGUAGAGCCUGUUGCUGGCAUUGCAAAUUGUCUCGGAACUCCUGUUUGUAAAUACUUGCAAUAUCACAGAAAGAUGAACGAUAAUGUGAGAAACUUCAAGAGGAUGAGAGAUGAAUUGAAUUGCAAAAUGGAAGAUAUAGAGCUGCAAUUGAAAGCAGAGCUUCUUCGUCCUCUGGGGAAGAUACCGAAGAAGGGAGUUGAAAAUUGGUUGAAAGAUGUGAAAGAGAUGAUUAAGGAAGCACAAGUUGUUGAAAACAAAGUCAGGAACGGGAGAUAUCUCUGUCGUGCUUGCAACAGCAAGCUGGUUGAAGAAAACACUCGAGAAAUGGAGGGAUUUCUUGAUAAAGCUCCUAAUGCCUCUGAAGGUCUUGCCAUGGAUGGUCCGAGUGCUGGGUUGCCGCUGCCAACAUCAGAACUAGUUGGAGAGGAAGCUGUCAGAAAUGAGAUUUGGGCAUGUUUGAUGCAGGAGGAGGUGAGCAAGAUUGGGGUUUGGGGGAUGGGCGGCGUGGGUAAAUCGACCAUCAUGAAGCACAUCCACAAUGAUCUUUUGAAAGAAAAACGAUUUGAAAGGGUGGUUUGGGUUACUAUAUCAAAGGAGUUCAAUAUUGUGAAGUUACAAAAUGAUAUUGCAAGUGCAUUGAAUGGACAGAUGCCCGAAGAAGCAAACAAGGUCAGACGAGCAGCAGUCUUGUCCGAAAUGCUGAAGAGAGCAGGAAAACAUGUUCUAAUCCUAGAUGAUGUGUGGAGUGAAGUCUCGUUGGAAGAAAUUGGGAUCCCUAAGCCAAGUAGCAGCAAUGGGUACAAGUUGGUGUUGACAACUCGUGUGGAGCAAGUUUGUAAGUCUAUGGGCUGUAAGGUGAUAAAAGUGAAGCCCCUUUCAGAAGAAGAGGCAUUGAUACUAUUCUUGAGUGAAGUUGGACCUAACAUAGUGCAAAAUCAAACUUUAAUGCCAACUUUUAAGCUGGUUGUCAAGGAAUGUGCAGGUCUGCCUCUUACAAUUGUCGUCAUAGCUGGUACAUUGAGAGGAGAAGAUGAACCUCUUAUUUGGAAAAACACACUCAGGGAAUUGAAAGAGAGAAUAGGGAAAGUGAAAGAAGGGGAAGAUAAAGUGAUCGAGAGUUUGAAAGUUAGCUUCAAUCACUUAAAAGACGAGAAAAUGAAGCAUUGUUUCUUACAUUGCGCAUUAUAUCCUGAAGAUUUUCAAAUUGGGAAGGAUGGGCUAAUUGAGUGCUGGAUUGAAGAGGGAUUCAUAGAUGAUAUAAGUACAAGACAAGAAAUGAAAGAUAAGGGCCAUGUUAUUUUGAAGAAAUUAGAAGAUAAUUGCUUGUUGGAAAAUGUCUCGAGUGAAAGAGUGAAAAUGCAUGAUGCAGUGAGAGACAUGGCAUUGUCGAUCACAAGAAUGAAUCCUCGAUAUAUGAUACAAGCAGGUUUUCAAUUAGAAGAGUUACCAGAAAAGGAGCAAUGGAGUCCGGAUAUUGAGAAAGUUUCACUUAUGUAUAACUCCAUAUCAGAAAUUUCCAUAGAUGUGCUGCCCACAAAAUGUCUACUGCUCACAACCUUGUUAUUGCAGGAGAACCCAAUAAAGAAGAUCUCAGUUUCUUUCUUCACAAACAUGCCUUGUCUUAGUGUUCUCAAUUUGUCCUCUACGAAGAUCAAAAGUUUACCAGAUUCCAUCUCUGAACUAAAGAACCUCACAACAUUGUUGCUUCGUGGCUGUCAAGAAUUAAGAUAUCUGCCAUGUCUUUCGAUGCUUCAAGAAUUGAAGAACUUGGAUCUAAGUUGGACUAGAAUUGAGGAAGUACCUGAAGGCAUGGAUAUGCUGAUAAAGCUAAGAUAUCUUGAGCUUGUAGCGCCCACUCUGAAAGAGAUACCCGCUGGACUUUUACCAAAACUCGUUCACCUUCAGCACUUGGGUUUUCAUGAGGGCAAUGAAAAAACAAGUCUAAAAGCAGAGGAGAUGGAACCAUUGAAGAAGUUGGAGUGCUUUACCGGAAGUUUCGAAGACAUCAAUGAAUUCAAUAAGUUCAUCUCCUCAAUGCAACAAAGUAAGAAAAAUCUCAUCAAGUACUCUUUACAAGUGGGCUUAGCUAAUUUCCUUCAUAGAAGAGAUAAAGGAGUAACAAUUGGAGGAGUCCAGAAUUGGGAAGGUGAGUUAAUUAUGCACCCAAUUGAAAUUCAAGAGUUGAAUAUUAUAAACUGUGACUAUUUGAGAAACUUAGUCGAUGACAAUUCUUCCUUCAAAAAUGCGAUUGACUUGAGGGUUUGUAGGAUUUGGUGGUGUGAAGGGAUAGAGUGUGUUGUUUCCCUGUCCUCUUUUGCCUCUUCUUCCGCGCAUCCAUUUCAGAGCCUCGAGAUGUUAGAUCUUAGAGAUCUGCCAAAGUUGAGUGCCCUUAUUAUGAAAGAUGCAGGAAUUGGUUCAGCAACAACAUCAACAUUGGCUCCGUCUGCCACCUUUUCCCUUCUCAAGGAAAUUACGAUAGUGGAGUGCUCAAGUAUGAAGACGUUGCUUCCACAUUGGUUGCUUCCAAACCUCCAAAACCUGGAAGAAAUAUCAGUGUCACACUGUGAUGAGGUAGUAGAAAUAUUGGGAGCAGCAACAUCAGAAGUUGAAGAAAAAGGGAGUGAUGCAUUAAUCAAAUUCCAUCUUCCCAAAUUGAGAAAGUUGUUAUUCCAGGAUUUACCAAAUUUGAAGAGCAUUUGCAACAAAAGUGGAGUGAUGGUUUUCGAUUCUCUCCAACUUAUCCAAGUUGUAUACUGUGAUAAACUGAAGAGAAUUCCUCCAUUUGUUCCCCUUGUUGGCAAUGGGCAGCCAUUUGCAUAUGCUCCACCUUCUCUCACCAUCGGGUCAGACACAGAAUGGUGGGAAUCGUUGGAGUGGGAUGACCAUCCAAACUUUAAAAAUGUUCUUCGCUUCGACUCCUUUUGCGGAUAAGAGAGAUAAAAGGGUUGGUGGAAAAGGAGGGGGGAGGAUAGUGCAAAAGAGAGGAGAAAAGGAAUGAUGGAAGGAAGAGGUUAAGAGGCAAAGGUAAAUAAGAAAUCAAACUGCCUCCACUUUUUAAACAUUUUCCCUCUCUUACUCCUCCUAUUCUCUUUUUCUUCUCUAAUAUAUAUAUAUAUAUACACAUAAAUAAGAGAUUUAAAUAUGUUUUAAAUCUUUAUAUUCUCUUAUAUUUUAAAUUUAAUCUCUAUUUAUUUUUAAGAAUUUAGUCUCUUUAUUUUUUGAAUUUAAAAAUUUAGGUCUAGUUAUUAAUAACAUUAAAAUUAUUUUGUUAAAUUUACUGGUGUGACAUGUUGAAAAUGUUUUUAAAAAAUUCUUAUUUGGUAGCUAUGUAACAAAAAAUAAUGACAAUCUAAUAACUUGAAUUUAAUAGAGAAUUUUAACAAUGUUGUCAAUUCUUAAAAAUUUACAUCAACAGUUUAAUUAGAAUACGAUGUUUAGACUAAUUAAUGACAUUAAAAAAAUUGAAGUAUCAAAUUAUGUCAAAAAUUAAGACAUAGAGAUUAAAUUUCCAAUUUGGGCAUAUUAUAAGGACUAAAAUUGAAAACUAACUAUUGUUAUAUAAUUUCAAAAAGAAAAAUCAAUAAUUUAGUCAAAAUGAAGUAUUUAAAUUGACAAUGACAUUAAAAAGUUGAAGUAUCGCCUUAUGUCAAAAAUUAAAAUUAAAAUAUUAAAAUUUAAAUUUAAGCUGAAUAUAAGAAUCAAAAUUAAAAUUUGACAUAUAAUUUCGAAAAAGAAAUAAUAAGUUGUGUGUUUAGAUAUGUAUAUGCCAAUAAAUCGGAACGAAAUAUUUAAUGAUAUUAUAAAAAUUAAAGUACAAAUUUAUGUUAUAAAUUAGUAAGCUUGAAGUAAAUCUCUUAAAAUAUCUUACUUUUUCCUUUUUGAAACAAAACAUAGUUUUCAAAUUUGUAAGCUUCAAGUAAAUAUCUUAAAAUGAUUUACUUCCCUCACUUAAAAGGUUAGAUGCAUGAAUUGUUUCACCAUUAAUUUUGUUUUGUUUCCCUCAUUUAAAAUAUAUUAAAUUCUUUAUCACUCAAAUAACAGUAAGAGUAAACUACAUCGCAAGUCACUUUAAAAUAGGGUCAUUCUUAUUUUUUUUGUCAAUUUAGUAACUCUAAUUAAGAUAAUUGCUCAAAUUGGUCACUAACGUUAAAAUUUUCGUUAAUCCACUUACAAACAAGUGAACAGGAUGUAGCGGAAGAAAAUGGAGAGAAAGACUACAGCAAAUCCAGUAAUACUGAGUGUAGUGAUAAGUGAUGACCAGUAAGGUAGAGAAAGGGAAAUAUGGUUGACUGUCAAUCUUAACCAAGAAGUAAGUUUCAGAAAGAAUCCUUUUAAGAGUUCAAAAUGUUGAAAAAUUCAAAAGUGCCAAAAAUCUUAUGUGGCAAAAGGCUCCUAUUUAUAGUUUUUCAAAAAUAGGAGUUACAAAGCUAGUAAUUAAUGAGGGUAUUAAUAGAUAUUUUUAAGAUACAAUUGCAUAUUAAUUAAGAAGUGAUAGUGAAAGGAUUUCCUGGUGAUGUGAUGGUGAAUAAUGAAGAAGAAUUCACUAUGUUUCUAAAAGGAGAGAAAAACACUUACAGCUUGUUUGGUUUGGUGUAUUGGCAUAGCCAAUACACCCCUAAUCGGUGGGCCCCACCUAAUCCGGGUGUAACACGUCGUUUGGUUUGAUGUAUUGGUAAUACGCACCUAAUCCAUUACCUUCUUAAUCGGUGAAAACCACCGAUUUCUAUUCCCCCCUCUUUGCCCAGAUUAGCUACCGAUUGAGCAUCACCUCCCUGAUUUGCCCUCCCCCCAUCCCCUUGUUUCUCUUCUGUUCCUUCAUCCGAUUUCCUUCCUUAUUUUUUUGCUUUUGUUUUCUGCCGAUUUCCUCCCAGUCCAUUACGCCUCUUUGCUGCCGAUUUGUUCCCUCCGUUUCCUUUCUUUUCUUUUUCGCUCUGCCACUCUUUUUGAUUGCCUUCUCAACCAGUCGACCUUCUUUACUGACCCUUGUUUCGAUUCCGAAUCCAAGUCCGACCACUCUUCUCCACCCGCGACGCGAGCCUUUCGAGCACGGCCUCCUACCAAUCCAGAAGCUCAUAUUCACUGACCCACUCCAGGCCCUAACCUCUCUGAAGCAAAAGCUCGUAUCUUCCUCCACUCAACGAGUCGACUCGGCGGCCCUCGCUGACGCCCUCGAGAUCUCUUUGGACCAUGCACGUCUCGUCCUAGACACUCUCGCCUCGGUGCUUCACUCCGAAUCUGACCUUCUCGUCACCUCGCGCUUCGACGAUGUUGAUUCCGUUGGUGCUGAUUUGCUUGAUCUGAUCCUGUUUUUGUACAUUCAAUCGUAUAAAAGGCAUGGGCGCAUGUUCAAAGUUUGAAAUCCUGUCUUGAUGAGCAUAAUUUGGAAUUGCGUGUUAAGACAGCUAAUGAAGCUGAAGCAAUAUCCCAGCAAAAGUUGGCUGCUGCAGAAGCUGAAAUUGCUGAGUUGCGACACAAAUUGGAGGCUUCUAAGAGGUUACAGUUUACUUGUUUCUUUUUCUUUAUAUUAGAUUACCUUUUGAUGUCACUGAUUCAGGUUUAUUAUUUUAAUAUUCCUUUUCUUUCUGGAAGCGGAUUUUGCCUAGAUCUCUACAAACCUGCUGCUAUUCGUAAAAUGUUUAUUUGAUGUGCCUAGAGAAUUCCACCACACAUUAUUCUGUUGAAAUUCUCAUUACCAGAAUGUAGAUGUAUUAGAAAUUGUGUAGCUGGUAUUUAUGUUGUCGCUACCUUCAUUUAUCAAACAAUGGGUUUACGAGAAGCAAGUGAAAAGUGUUAAUUAUGCUGUUAUUUCAGGGAUAAAUCUAGGCUUACUGAUUCUUUAAAAGCCAAAAUUGAAGAAAAUGAGGCUUACUUAUCUGAAAUAGAGGUUAGCUUCUUGUCAUUUAGUCUUGGCUUUGCCUUUGGUACUUUCAUGAUGUUUUCAUUACACCAUUAGUUUGGUUUUCCUCAGUCAAUUGGACAGGCAUAUGAUGAUAUGCAAACUCAAAACCAGUAGCUAUUGCAGCAAAUUACUGAAAGAGAUGACUAUAACAUCAAGGUAAUCAAUUAUUUGGUUUAUGAUAUUCAGAGAUCCAUUGAAAGUUUAUGCACUAGCAUCAUUGUACCCUUUUCUUUCUUUCUUUCUUUUUUUUUUCCUUUUUUGCUACUUACUGCCAUAAAACGAUGGUCUCUUGAUAAGUUUUCUGUAACUAUGUCUUUAUGCUGACUAGUUUUAAAUUGAUUUUGUAUAACUCUGCCUUUUUUAAACCCUCAAGCAUCCAGUUGUCACUAGCUACCACUGCCAGCCGUGUACUUAGAGGUGAACGGUGCUUCAUAUACUCAUAGAUGUUUGAUCAUGGAAUAGAAAUUUUUACUUGGUAACCAAUCACAGAAGCUAACAAUCAUCAUUUCCCUUGAGUUAAACAUGAGAUAGAACUUGGGAAGCUGGGUUCAGUUCUUGGUCUCCAUUUGGGUGUUAGUUGUCGGUGUGAAGAUUCAUAGGUAUUCUCUUUGGCUGGUCAUCUGAUAUGAUUGGUUGGACUUGUGAUAACUAAGUGCCCAUUUUCAUUAAUGUAAAAUUUUAUUGAGAUUUCAUUUAUUUUUGGCAGGCACUGAGAUUUUUGAAUAGCCUAACUCCUCCAAAUAUAUCAAGGAUGAGGGUUUUAUUGGCCCAAACAUUACUGAAAUUUGCAAAAAUAAAAAAUGAUGUUGAUCUUGUAAUUUUAAUUUAAAGACAGAUGAAUUUACUUAAUCAUGAAACUGGAAGAGCAAUUAAUGCCUUCGGUUUUAUUAUAACCUAUUCUUGUAAAGGACAUCAGGCAUCUAGGUUCGAUAUUCUAUUUCUUGAUAUUUACCUUCAUGUAGAGAACUUCUACUUGUAGAGCCUCCAUGAUCCUUUGUCACUAUUGUAUAUUUUCUCCUAGAACUUGAUUUUACUUUAAUGGUGUCCUUUUCAGCUUGUUUUGGAAGGUUUGAGGGCCAAACAGCUUCAGGACACUCUACUCUUGGAGAAGCAUAACAUGGAGAAAGAGAUUCAGCAAGCCAACACAUCCCUUGAUUUUUAUAAUAUGAAAGCUGCAAGAAUCGAGGAUCAGGUAUGAUCAUGAACUAGGUAUUUUAUAUGAAAUACACUAUUAAAGGCAUUCAAGUAUUGAGCAAUUCCUUUUUCAGCUGAGGUUUUGCUCAGACCAGGUUCAGAAACUUGGAGAAGAAAGAUUUCAAAAGUCAGUUUCAUUGGAAAAUACACAAAAGCGAUUGUCAGAUAUGAGAAGAUCCUCUCAUCAAGCAAAGGAGUCACUGGAGGACUCGCAAUUCAAGAUUGAGAGAAGUCGAGCGGCAUUACUGGAGUUGCAGAUUGAAAUAGAGAGAGAAAGGUAAUAGAAUUCAUUGGUCCUUUUAUGUUUCCCUGUUUUCUUAAUGCAUAGGGUGAAUUCAUGUAUGUUUUUCUGCAUGUCAUUCAUUUAUUAGGUUUAAAAAGAAAAGAAUUGAGGAAGAAUUGGAAGUAGCGAGAAGAAAGGUCGUACUUCUUCAAGCGAAGACAGAAGGGAACUCGAUGAUUGAAAGGCUUCAAGAAGAACUUAGAGAGUACAGAGAAAUACUAAAGUGCAGUAUCUGUCUUGACAGACCAAAAGAGGUAAGUUUGAUUAUGAUCUAGUAUUUCAAGGUAGCAGUUCUUCAACUAGGCUCUUCAGUGUUGUAGUUUGAGCUCUUGUUCUCAUUUCCUGACAAUUGGAUAGGAUGCUUCUGUGCCAUUUGACUACAUUAAGAAUGGUUUUGUACCUGUUACUUAGAGAAGAAAUACUUCAUAACAUGUAGCCUAUGUUGCUUUCCUCAUUUUCCUUGAAUUACCUUUGUCCGACAGCAGUAUCUGAAACAUAUUACGGUGUCGGUAUGAUUCUCCAAGUAUAUGGAAAAACUUAGAAAAAUUGGCCAUACUUGUGUUGGGCACAUGCCCCUAUCUGAUGCACACUCCCAAGUUCAAGUAACAUAGCAUACAGCUAUGGUUUGUUCGAUUCUGUUUUGGACACUGUUUUUUAUUUGGCCUGUUUUCUCCAUCUAUUUCCAAAUUUGCUUAUAGAUUAUUCCGUUCUUCAGGUUGUUAUUACAAAAUGCUACCAUCUCUUCUGCAACCCUUGUGUGCACAAAGUCACCGAAAAUCGUCACCGCAAGUGUCCGGUUUGUGCUGCAAGCUUUGGUGCCAAUGAUGUUAAACCUGUUUAUAUCUGAUUUAGGAGCUCUCAUCAGAACUGCAUUAGAGAGAUGCUGUUGGUUUAUGGAAUGCCAUAGGUUUUGUAAAACUUUGAGGAGUGUGGAAGUGUUAAAGUUAUUCAAAAUUAACAAGCUCACUAUAAAGCAGCAAAUUUAUAUUAGAUUCCCAUAAUAUACUUGCUGCAUAAAUGCCUUUGAUUUUCAUAAGUUCAUAUUUAAAGUUGGAAUUUAUAAAUGUUUCAAUGAGUAUAUGCUGCCACAGUUUAUAGGAUCUUAGAGAAAUGUAAUUUUCACUAACACAAAUUACUCUUCUUUGCGGCUUAAUUUGACUUUUAACACUAAGUAAGCUGCCACUAAAUUUAUUUCUUUUUACAAAAUAUUUAGAAAAAAAUAUUAAAUUAUAUUUAGAAAAAUUAUAUUUAAUAAUAAUUAUUUUAAAUUAUAUUUUAUAGUAUUAUAUAUUAUGAUUUUAGUAAAUUCAUAUAAGAAUAUUUAAUAUUAAGAAUUUUAUUAAAUCAUAUAUUUUAAUUAAAAUAUAUUUAAUAAUAAUUAUUUCAAAUUAUAUUUUAUAGUAUCAUAUAUUAUAAUUUUAGUAAAUUCAUAUAAGAAUAUUGAUUAUUAAGAAUUUUAUUAAAUCAUAUAUUUUAAUUAAAAUAUAUUUAAUAAUAAUUAUGUUAAUUUAUAUUUUACAGUAUCAUAUAUUAUGAUUUGAGUAAAUUAAUAUAAGAAUAUUAAUUAUUAAGAAUUUUAUUAAAUUAUAUAGUUUAAUUAAAAUAUAUUUAAUAAUAAUUAUGUUAAUUUAUAUUUUACAGUAUCAUAUAUUAUGAUUUCAGUAAAUUAAUAUAAGAAUAUUAAUUAUUAAGAAUUUUAUUAAAUUAUAUAUUUUAAUUAAAAUAUAUUUAAUAAUAAUUAUGUUAAUUUAUAUUUUACAGUAUCAUAUAUUAUGAUUUGAGUAAAUUCAUAUAAGAAUAUUGAUUAUUAAGAAUUUUAUUAUAAAUUAUAUAUUUUAAUUAAAAUAUAUUUAAUAAUAAUUAUGUUAAAAUAUGAUUAAAUUAUUUAUUACUGAUAAUAAUAAUCUUAUUAAAAUUUAAAUAACAAUAACAAUAAUCAUUUACCAAAACAAUUUUAUGCUAAGGGUAUUCUAGUCAUUUUAGUUUUUUCCAUUAUGCUAUUACACCUCUAUUCCAUUCAACCAAACACAAGAUUACUAUUACGCCUCUAUUCCAUUACAUUCAACCAAACAGUGUAUUAGCUAUUACACCUCUAAUCCCAAUACACCUCUAAUCCCAAUACACCUCUAAUCCAAUACACCUCUAAUCCAAUACAGCGAACCAAACGCACCCUUAGCAUUAAAAGAAAAGGUUAAGAGGAAGCCUUUUAACUACCUUCAUAUCUGAUGCACCAAGCCAAGCUCUCCAAAACAUUCCAAAAGUGAAGAUAACCCAAGAACUCUACCAUAUUCUGGGGUUACUUCCGUUUCUUCCACUUUGGUGAAGUACCAUGUGAAACAUUUUUCGUGGAAGAUCUCUCAAAAUAUGAGACGAUAUGGUUGUUUUUGGAUGAGAGUUGUUCCUAAAUAAUUAUUUUAACUUGUUCCAAACGUGAGUUGUUCUCAAUAUAAAGGUUAUUCCAAAUAAGAGUUGUUUUGUGGUGAUUUUUUCUUGGUAAAACUUGUUUUGAAUAACGACUCUUUUAGAAAAAAAUAAUUUUUCUAAAUACAAGUUGCUCCAAACAAUGGUUGUUCUAGACAUAGUCAUUCCUGAAACGCUAUUAUUCUAAACAAGAGUUAUUCUCAAAUAACAAUUAUAUUGGAUGACAACUGUUCUAACUAAAACCAUGUUUUCAAAUAUUUAUUCUGGACAAAGUUAUUCUUGAACAACAGUUGUUCUGAAUAAUUAUUCUAAACAAGAGUUGUUACUUCAGAAGAGAUAUGCUUGGUAGAAUAAUUUAUUGAAAUAUAAUAUUUUUUGAUUUCAAGAAAUAGAUAAAAUAUUAGUAGUCAAAAUUGAGUAUUUACAAAAAAUUGAAAACUGAAGUGUUAAAUUUGAUUUAUAAUUUUUUAUUUUACCAUUUUUAUCUUUCCUUUUAACAUUUCAUGUUAAUUUAAUUUACAUAAAUUCUAAACCACUUUGAAUAUAGAUAUAAAUAUUUGAAAUAAAUUAUAUUGAUGUUAGGAAAAAAAAUACUCACUAAAGAAUAAAAAUUAUUUAAAAAAAACUUAUAUUCAACGAAAAUAUAAUGAUAAUAAAGGCUCAUAUGUAACAAAAAGCCUUUAAGAAAAUGCGAAAAAUUAAUUAUGCUUUUAUAUUAAAUUUAUAUCCAAUUGGGCCUUUGCCGUUAAAUAAAAUUAAUUAAGCCCUCCAUUCAUAAAAUCUUUGGUCAACCGUUAAGAUAAAUUAAUGAAACAAUCAAAAUAAAGACACGUGGUAACUUUUAAUUUAAUCUAAUAUUUUUUCAUACAAAUGUUAAAAAUCAUAAAAACUAGAAUAAAGAGAAAAUAGAAAACAGAAUUAAGUGAUAUAUAAUGCUUAUAAAUUUCAAUUACUUUUCCUUUUUUUCCUUUCUAAUUUUUGGUACAAAACAAAAGUGCAAUUUACCGAUAAUGUUUUAUUAUUAUUUUUGGCAAUUCCAUAAAUGUCUUUUUUCUUAUGAAAAAUAAUUUUGCCUGCUUCUUGGCUUAAAGUUUGGUGUAAAUUUGAUAAAACUAAAGGUGAUUUUGGAUGGACGGUGAUUGUGGUGUAAUGAAAAUUUUUAUUUCACAGUUAUAGUAACUAAUUUCAUUGCCAACACUAUUUUUAAUUUAACCUUAUCGGAGGUAAUCACAUCCCCAAAGACACCCUAAAUCUGUUUAUAACAAUAAUUAUUAUACUAAUAAUAAAAAAAAUGGUAAAAGUACGACAAAACCUUUUAUCUUAUAUAUCGGAUUGCAUUUUAAUUUUUUAUUAAAAAAUUAGCCCAUAUAAAUUAGAUGACUGAGCAAAAUAGUCCUUCCAUUUUAUUGUUUAUAUAUAAGGUAUAAUAAUAAAUUUAGCCCUCAACCUUUACAUAUUUAUUCAAUUUGACCCUUACCUUUUUUAUUGGAAGUAAAUCAGAAAAUUUUGAAACUAAUAAGACUAAAGGGUCAAAAAGGCCUUAGUUAUAAAAUUAAAAAAAAAAACCAAUCAAACCCAUUUAAAUUUUAAAAGUUAUUAAAAAUCUUAAAAAUUAUAAAUAAAAUUUAAGAAAAUUUAAAAAUAUAUAUUUUUUAUUAAAAAAAAGCAACACCUACCCAUUAAAAUAUUGGUUUGAAGAUAUUUUAAAAACAAUUGGCCCUACUCUUUUAUUGAGUCAGCAUUGUUAUUUUUUAAUAAUUUUUUAUAAUUUUUAAAAAUCUUAAAAAUUUUAGCUUAAUUAAUUUUUUUUUUAAAUUUGUUACAAAGACCUUCUUGACCCAUUAGCUUCAUUAGUUUAAUUUUUUUUUAAUUUACUUUCAAUAAAAAAGUAUAGGUCAAAUUAAAUAAAUAUGUAAAAUUUAGAACUAAAUUUGUUAUUAUACCUUAUAUAUAAACACCAAAAUGGAAGGACUGUUUUGCUCACUCAUUUAACGUAUAAGGGCUAAUUUGCCAUUUUUUUAAAUAGAGAAGACAAAACCAAAUUUAACUCCUAAAUUCCCUUUUUCGAUGACUUUUUCAAGUCUUCCAUACAAAAUUAGACAGAAUAAUUAAGAAUAGAGGCUAUACCAAGUUGAUAAGGUCAUUCUAUUUUGCUUUUCCUCUUCUUCAGAAAGCUCCCAGAAAAACAGAAACUGAAGAAGAUAUAGCAGCCGUUCCCUUUUUUUUUUUUUGAAAGUCGAUAUGUCAAACACGAAUAUUUCAGAGACGAUUCCGUUUUUACCGGAGAUCGAUGAUAACAAGGACGAAGAUGGGAGGUGGUGGAAGAAUGUUUUGGAUUUGGAAGAGGCGAAGAAACAAGUGUUGUUUUCACUUCCAAUGAUUGUGACGAAUGUUGUGUAUUAUUCCAUAACUUUGGUGUCUGUCAUGUUUGCCGGUCACCUUGGGGAGCUUCAGCUUGCUGGUGCCACGCUUGCUAAUUCUUGGGCCACCGUCACUGGCUUUGCUUUCAUGGUUAGUUUUCACUAUUUUCUCAUUAUUCUUUAGGAUAACUUACCUAGCCCCUUAACUAUGGUUUUUUACUUUUUUUAGUCAUCUAAUUAUGAAAAGUUACAAAAUAAUCACCCAAUUAUUAGUAUUUUUUUUGUUACCAAAUUAUAAUAAGUUACAAAAAUGAUCAUUUAACAAUUCAAUUUUGUCUUUUUUGGUCACACAACUAUAUUAGAUUUUGGGGUGUUUCCAUUUUUACGUUAGUCAGUUGGUGACCAAAAAAGAGAAAAACAUCAUAGUUGGGUUACAUUUAUAGUAGUUUACCCUUUUUUUUAAUAUAUCAUGUUUAUUUUACAAUCCAUAUUUGGAGUUUGUGACUCUCUUUUCUAAUAAUAUUGUCUCCGAGAUCUGAACUCGUAUUCUCUCAUUAAGAGUGCAAUCUAUAUUAGCAUUACACAUACUCUUAUUGAUUAUUUUAUCAUAAAGUUAAUAUACUAUUUGGUACCUAUAUUUGGCUUGAAUGUUUUAUUUGGUACUUCAACCUUUUUUAUCCCAAUUUGGUACCUGAGUUUGGCUUCAAUGUUCAAUUUAGUGCCUAAGAUUUUUCAAAUUGAUACUUGAGUUUUUCUUUGUCCCAUGCAAAUACUUAAGUUUGACUUCAAUAUUCAAUUUAGUACUUGAGUUUUUCUUUUGCCCCGAUUAAGUAUCUAUGUUUUUUUUUACUAAAACACACUUGUCAAAUAUUUAUUGGACAAAUUAAACAUUAAAAUCAAACUUAAAUACUAAAUUGAGACAAAAGUACCUCACAUGCCAAAUGGACCUUUGAAAUUAAAUAUAGGUACCAAAUAGUAUAUUAACCCUUUUAUCAUAACUUCAACAUUUUGUUUUUGUGGAUUUACUUGUUUGUUAGACAGGAUUAAGUGGAGCACUGGAAACACUUUGUGGUCAAGGAUUUGGUGCCAAAAUUUACAGAAUAUUGGGAAUUUACCUCCAAUCCUCAUGCAUAAUUUCCUGUUCUUUCGCCAUUCUAAUAUCAAUCUUAUGGUUCUUCACCGAGCCCAUAUUGAUCUUCCUUCAACAAGACGCCGAAAUCUCCAAAACGGCGGCGCUUUACAUCAAAUAUCUCAUCCCAGGCUUAUUUGCUUACGGAUUGGUACAAAACAUACUGAGAUUCCUUCAGUCGCAAAGUAUUUUAAUGCCUCUGGUGUGGUUUUCGGUUCUGCCAUUGGCACUUCAUUUGGGCAUCGUUUACGCAUUGGUUAAUUGGACGGAUCUGGGUUUCAAAGGAGCUCCAUUGGCAGCUUCGAUUUCGCUGUGGAUUUCACUUGUUUUCUUAUCGUCUUAUGUGGUUUUGGCCCAGAGAUUUGAGGAAACAUGGCCGGGAUUGUCGUCGGAAUCGUUUCGUUUGGUCUUCGCGAACCUGAAACUCGCCAUCCCUUCUGCGGCAAUGGUUUGGUGAGUUCAUUUUUUCCAAAUUAAAUUAUACAAUUUUGAAGAGUCAAACAAAAUUUGUCAUUGUAUUAUUUUAUAAUUUUUCAUUUUUUAAAGGACUAAACUUCUAAAAUUAUUAUUUUUGGCCUAAAGACAUAAGUCUAAUUAUUUUGAGUUGGGUUAAAUCUCAAAAUUAUACAUGAAUUUUGAUUUAACGUGCAAUUGUAUACAUGAACUUUAAUUUAGUAUAAUUAUAUGCGUGAAACUUUAAUUGUGUUUCAAAUAUAUACUUGAAAUUUUAAUUUUGAUUUAAUCAUACACAUUUAAAGAAAUAAACUUAUUUAUUUAUUUUUAUAUUGGAUAAAUAUAAUUAUUUAUGCAUAUGAUAUAUAAACAUAAAAUAAUGUUAUAUUAAUAAUCGUGUUAAUAAGUUACAAGAAUUGGAUCAAAUCAAAAUUUUAUGUAUACAAUUGCACAUUAAACCAUAGUUCAUGUAUAAUUUUGGUACAUAUCCUUUUUGAGUUUGAGUCAAAAGUAAGCAUUUGAUUAUUUUAAUCAGUUAGAUUUUUUUUCCCUAAUUUAACUGACUUAAUCGGUCUUAAUAUAAAAUAACCGAACCGAUCGACUAAGAUAUUGUUAACCGAUUUCAUUACUAAGAUGUCAUUAAUUGGGUUUGGGUCGGUUUUCGGGUUGGGUUAGGUUAGAUAAUUGGAUUUUAAGUUUGGGUAAUUUAAAUUAUAUCACAUAUUACAAAUAUAUUUAAAAUAAUUUAAAAAUAAUAAAUAAAUAAAUAAAAGUCAGUUAAGUUGAUCAAUUCGAUUAUAAAUUUUAGUCAUCAGUACUCCACUGUCCAAAUCGACAAAACUAAAUUAAUUAAAAUGAAUCAAAUCGUCAAUUAAGUCGAUUAAAUCAGUCAUAACUGAAUAAUACUCUUUCCUAAUUUGAGUUAUUCGGAUUUUGUGGUCAAAUUUUAAGUCGGAAAAAUUAGAAUUAAGUUCUUUUGAAUUCAAAUUAGUCUAAAUUAGAGUUAUUUUCAUUUUGGAUUUGAAUUUAACUAUUUAAAAUAAUGAUGUCAACUAAAUUAAAAUUUAGAUAAUUUUUUAAAAUUAUUUUGAGCAGUUUGGAAUAUUGGGCGUUCGAGCUUCUGGUACUAUUAGCAGGAUUGAUGCCUAAUUCAGAAGUAACUACUUCCUUGAUUGCCAUGUGGUAUGCUUGCCUUUUAAGGGUGAAUCCAGAAAAUCUUUUUGAGGGGGCCGAAAUGAAAUUUUAAUUUUUAAUAAUUUAUAUUUUUAUAAUUUUUAAAUGAUUAAAUUAAUUUUUUUAAUUUUAAGGGGUUAAAGUGUAAUUUUAUCUUUAUUAAUUUAAAACUUUUUAUUUUAAGGAGCCUGGCCAUACAAGCCCCUGGAUUCGCCUCUGCUUCCAUUUUUAUACUUUUCACUGGAUCUAUUUAAAGAUUUCAAGAUUAAUGGGAUUUGAGUAAAAUAUUUUGCUUCAGUGUGAAUACAGAAUCAAUUGCGUACAUGAUUACUUACGGGCUUAGUGCUGCAGCAAGGUGAGUUCAAUUUUAUUAUUAUCUUAAUUAAUUUACGGAUUUUAAGCUAAUUUAAUUGAAAUAGCACGAGGGUUUCGAAUGAAUUGGGGGCUGAGAAUCCGAGGAAGGCAAAGACCGCCAUGGCUGUGUCACUCAAGCUUUCAAUCCUUCUCGCUCUAACAGUGGUUGUUGCAUUAGCAUUUGGGCAUAACAUAUGGGCUGCUUUCUUCACCAACACUGCUUCCAUUAUUAACCAAUUUGCUUCAAUCACACCCUUCCUUUUAAUCUCCAUUACCAUCGAUUCUUUUCAAGGCAUCUUAUCAGGUAAUUUCAAAAACAAAAAACAAACAAUUUAGUGAAGAAAUGGAAGGAUUAAAAUGAAAUGAAUAAAAUGUUGCAGGGGUGGCCAGAGGAAGCGGGUGGCAGGUGUUGGCUGUGUGGGCCAACUUGGGGACCUUUUAUUUAAUUGGAAUGCCAGUUGCAGGGCUUCUUGCUUUUAAGUUUAAGCUUUAUGCUAAGGUGAGUGUCUCAGCUAGAUAUCAGUUUACCUGCUCUAUUUAAUUUAUUCCAUUUAAUUAAAUAAAUUAUUUAAAAAUAUAAUUUUUUUUCGUAAGUCGUCUGGUUAAAUAAUUUUGUUCUCAAUCUUUCCUUAAUUAUUCACAUUUUAAUGGAAUUUAACCUUUUUUUAUAUAUUUUUUUCUUUCAUCAGGGUUUGUGGGUAGGGUUGAUAUGUGGUCUUUCAUGCCAAGCUACUGCCCUCCUGCUUAUUACUUUGUGUAGAAAAUGGGCUAAAAUUGAGCUUUCCUAACAAAUUAAUAUUCAACCAUAGUUAAAUCUUAACUAAUCUUCAUACUUUAUGGGUAUUCAUUUGUCGAGACUUAUUUAAAAUAGUGAAUUUGAAAUUUAAAUGAUUUGAGUUUGUUGAUACAUGAAAUAAAGGAGGGAAAGGGUUUUCUAGUGAAGAAGCAAGGAAGAAGAUCAUAGAAUGGAAUGUCUAAAGUGUCGUCCCUUAAAGAGGAUUUUUAAAAAUAUAUAUAAGAGAAGUUUUUCGAGUCAGAGUCUGGAUGGAGUUAUGAUAUAUUUUACUAUAAUUAUAUAACAAUGUUCAAAUUUUGUCAUGUUUUUUGUUCUAAUAUUGGAGAUCGAUCCUUUUAAUAACAAAGUGACUAGAAAUAAUAAUCGGAUAUUUACAAAAUUUUUAAAUAAAUUCUCUUGAUUUACCUAAAUAAGUUUUCUUAUGUGUUUAUUACCUACAUAUUAUUAUUUCAAUGAUUAAAAUAGCAAUUCUCUUUGAAUAUUAUUUUCACCUACAAAAUUACUUCCACAAUGACUGUCGGUGUAACAGCCUAAUUUUCAGUGGUGUCGGAAACAGUGAUUCGAGAUCACUAAAUUCAACCAAUGAGUUUUAAAAUUUAAUAAAUAAAUACAUAUGAGUCAAGUGUGAUUAUAGAAGAAUUUUGGAUUAGUGAAUUUUGUGAUUUAAAAAGAAAUUAAUAAGUAAAUUCGGUCUAAAACGAGGUAUCGAAACCUCGAACUGAUAAAUCGAGCCAUAAAUAUUUUUAGAAAUAUUUAUAGAGUGUCAUUGAGUUGGUAUUAAAGUUUCGUUAGAAAAUUCUAACAUUUGGAUGGUCAAUUAAUUAAAAGUACUAAAUUGAAAACAGUGCAAAAUAUGUUAAAUUAUGAUUAAAUAGCUUAAGUGACUAAUAAGGAGGGAUUUAAAAGGCAAUUAGGCCCAAAUUAUAUGGGCUGGACGGUUUGGGCAAGAAAAUCAGCAAGAAAACAAGGAGAAACAAGGGCAAAAUUAGAAAUUUAGCAAAUUAAACAUAUAAGACAAAGACAAAAUUGAAAAAUCUAGAGAUUUAUUCAUAAUUCAUCAGAAAAUACGCCAUACGAGGUCUGAAACAAGCUGGUUUCUCAUAUUUUUAUACCAUGUGAGUUCAAUUCUUUCUUUUCCUUCGAAAUUUUUAUGUUUUGUGACUUUUACAACUAGGUCCAACUAUUGAAUUCAUUAGUUUUUGAUUCCAUGGGUGAUUUUGUAAGUUACCAUGAAGAAUUUAUAGAAUUUUAUGAUGAAUUAUAAAUUAUUUGAAGCUUUAAUUUCAUUAUAUUAUGAUUUUAUUAAGUGAUUUUAGUAGAAAAUGAUUUUUAGGACCUAAUUGUGAAAAAGCUAGGAAUUAGGGUUUUGUACUGAAAUUAUGAAUAUAAAAGGCUGUAUAAUAGCCUAAAAUGAUUAGAUAAAGUGUUAUUUGAGGUAAAAUUUGUUCAAUUGAAGUGUUAAUUGAGUAGGGACUAAAUUGUAAAAAUUGUAAAUUUUGGGGUAAAAGUGUAAUUUCAAAAAUUGAAGGGCAUAAAUUUUGAAGUGAAUUAGUAUUGAAAUAGAUGCUAAUUAAUGGAAAAUUUCAUAUUAUAAAUCGGGAAUCUUAAGAUAAACAAGGAAAAGAAAAAGUCACUGAUUAGUCCCUGAAAUAUUACAACUCCUACAAAUAAGCCCAGGUAAGUUCAUACGGCUGAAAUUUUAUGAUUAAUUGUUAAUGUGGGAAUGAUUUAAUGUAUUAACUCAUUUAUUUUUGUUGAAUUAUGAUUAUUGUAAAAAUGUGAAAAUCAAACUGACUAAAUGCUAAAGUUACAUAUUUUAUGUAAUUAAAUUGGUUAAUUUAUGAGAGUGCACAUGAGAGUGCACCACUAAUUUUUCCAUGUUUACAUUGAAUUUUGUGCAGGGAUGCAAUUUGAGGCUAAAUAGAAGAAAAAGAAAACAAUUGGGCUAUAUUGAAGAAAGAAACAAAGGAGGGCCAAAGCAAAAUUUUUCCAAGAUUAAUUAGCUGAAAUUUUUGUUGACUUAGUGGAAGAUUAUUUUGGGAUUUUUUUUUUAAUAUCAUGGAAUAUUUUUCCUUGAUUUUCUAUGAUAGUGGCUCUUAAUUUAGCAAGGCUACUAGUAUAAAUAGAUGCUAUAUUGUUCAUUUUAUUCAUUAAUUCAUAAAUCAAGCUUUCAUCUUUCAAUACAUUCUCUCUUUUCUACUCAAGAAUUUAUUUGUUGUUUUUAGUUUCCUUUACUUUCAAUCCAUUAAUUUCCAGCUUGUUACCACUUAAACCAUUACAAUUUCUUUUUCAAACUUUCUUCCAUUUCUAGUAGCUAACCCACUUUAAUACACCACCAAAAUUUUAGCCCCUCAUACUUAAUCACGCCACCCAUCCUUUUCACCCAUUUCACCUUAUUUAAUUUAUGCCCAAUGCCGAAAUGCCCCAAACCUUAGUUAACUAAAUCCAUUUUCAGCUUUAGGUCGAUGCAUGUAUCUGCAAAAGGAAAAAUUUUCUCCAAAAUAGGACUUGACCCUCAUGGUUUGCACAAUUCAACAAUUUAAUCCUAGCACAUUAACAUCUCAAGUAACCUAGCCUAAGAAGUAAGUAAAUAUAUUUAAGAAUUUAUUAGAGCUUGAUAGACUUACCUUUCAUUUUAUUAUUUUUGUACUUAGGACAUUUUCGAAUUUUUUGACGCAAGACAUGAUGACAAUCCAAGCUCCAUGUUCCGGUUACUCAAUUCGGACAUCUCUAAGCGUGUUAUUUCACCCUACUCAUGAUAACUUGUUAGCGGAGUGAGUGCAAAGAAAUUGGACAGCCACACGAACCUUUUUACGCGAGAUGUGAUGACAACCCAAGCACCACGUUCCGGUUACUCAGCCCGAUGUAAGUUCAAAUUAAGGGAUCCGCAGGAUUGAGUACAUACGUUUAAUAUCCAUUGACGAAUUAACGAAUAAGUCCAUGGUGGAUCCAUGGCAAAGUGUGGAACGUAGAUAUGGUAAUUUUGUAAAGAAAACCAUACUAAGUUGUGAAAUGUAGGUAUGGUAUUUCAGUAAUGAAAAUCAUACUAAGUUGUGAAAAGUAGGUUGGUAUUUCAGUGAAGAAAACCAUAUUGAGUUAUAGCAUUGUAAAGGAUUCAAACAAAUCGUGGCACCAAGCAAAUGGUGUACUCAAAUCCAUAAGAUGAUCCUUAAUUUAACAAGUAUUUGUAAGUGCAAUUGGAGCUAAAUGUUGGAAUAUAAGUUGAUAUUUGCUAUUGAGCUCAAUUGAGUAAAUUCAUUGUUUGAGAUUGUGGUUGGCAGGAAAUAUUGCAUACUUGUUUAUUAAAAAUGUUAGUGAAAUUUUGGUAAGAUUCUAUUAUGAGCCUAUGAACUUACUAAGCUUUCUGUAAGCUUACUUGUAUGUGUUUAUUAUUUCUUGUAGAUUGACGUAUAUAUAUGUUCGGGGGAUCGGAUCUACAUUAAGGAUCACACAAACCAGAUUUACUCCGGUAGAUUUUUUUAAACAACUUUUUGAUUUAUAUGGCAUGUAUAGGAAUUGAAGUAAUAAAGUAAUACUAUGAAUGAUUAAGCAUGCAAAGUAAAUCUGAAUGUGAUGGUUGAGGUAGAUAUUGAAAUAUACAUGUUUUAGCUUGAAAUGAUUGACUGUGUUUAAGUCCGGUAAUGUCUCAUACCCUAUUCCGGAGUCGAACACGGGGAAGGGGUGUUACAGUAAGUCAAGUUAAUUUGACUCGGAUCAAUUUAAAAUGCGAAUGUCUUAUAAAUAUUGUGUAAGGUUUAAUGGUGUAAAAAGUUUUUAAACUGUUUCAAAAAAAAGUAAUUAAGUCUAUGUUUUUUUUUUUUGCAUUCAAUUGGGUACUUAAUUUUCAAAAUGCAUCAAAAAGGACUUCAAAUUUUUUCAAAAAAAAACAAUUAAGCUUCUACUUUUUUUUUGGCACUUAAUUAGGUACUUGAGCUGCAAAAUGCAUGAAAAAGGCCGUCGAACUUUUUCAAAAAAACCAAUUAAGCUCCAACUUUUUUUCUCACUCAAUUGGGUACUUGAACUACCAGAAUCAUAAAAAAGACCCUCAAACUUAAAAAAAGAAGUAGUUAACCUCUUUUUUUUUUGGCACUCGAUUGAGUACUUUAACUGCUAAAAUGCAUAAAAAGACCAUUUGAUCGUUAGCUUUAAUGUUUACCGUUAAAAUUAAUAGCUCUUAAUUUUUUUUCAGUUAAAGCCACCACGCGUCACAACCAUUGUGUGACAUGUGGUAAAAAAAUUAUAAAAAAUAAAAAUGAAUAAAAUUUAUAAAAAUGAAUAAAUUUUAAUAAAAAUAUUUAAAAUUUAUUAAAAAUAGAAUAAAACUAUAAAAAUUGUAAAAUAUAUAGAACUAUAAAAAUAUAUAAAAAUGUAAAAAAUAUAUAUAAAAUUAUUCCCAAAAAAAUUAUAAAAUUUUAUAAAGUAGUAAGAAAAUUAUAAAAAAUGUAAAGAAAUAUAAAAUUUGUAAAAAAAUUAUAAAAAUUAUCUUACCAAAAGAAGUAUUUUAUAAUUUUCUAUAACUCUUAUUAAUUUUUAUUUUUUAUCAUUUUUUGUAGCAUAUCACGUUGUAUUGUUACAAAUGAUGGCUUUAACUUAAAAAAAAAAACAGAAAUCUAAUGUUUAAAGUUAAUGUUUAAAUGUUCUUUUUGAUACGUUUUAUAUUUUUUUAUGAUUUUUAUAAAAGUUUACAAUCUUUAUAAUUUUUUUACAAUUUUAUAUUUUUUUUUUCUCACACGUCACGUUGUGGUCGUGGCACGGGGUGACUUGAAAUGAAAAAAAUUAAGAGUUUGCGAUCAAAGAAAAUUUUUUGGAUGUAUUUUGACAGUUUAAGUACCCAAUUAAGUAAAAAAAAAGCAGGGCUUAAUUAUGUUUUAGAAAAUAUUAAUGCAGAUUAUAAAUAUAAAUUCAACUUAAAAAGAAAGUUUUGGGACUGAAAAACUUUUCUAGCACCCCGGAAUUCAAUACCUUCACAGCUUCCUCAGAUUUAAUACAAGAAGGCGUCUUGUAUUGGUUGAUAGAAGCCCCCUUUGAUACAUAAAAGUCCAUAAGCGCAUCAAAUGUUCCAUGCUUUACCACUCUUACCUCUAAUUCUGCAAUUUUAUUGGCCUCUCUAAGGGACUUAUAUGUGAAAUCCAAUGAUUCUUCUACUAUGGAGCAGCAUUGUUCCAUUAUCUUGGCAUCAAGUUUUAGGCAUCUAUUCCUUUCUUUGAACUUGAGUUCCCAAAACAAUACAUACCGGCCUGGUAUCGAUGAAGUCUCCGCAUAGCUACUGAAUGUCAUCAGUACGAAACCAAGUGGUUCAAGAUGGCGUUUUGCGUUCCCGAUGGCCUUCAAGAGGUCUUCCUCGCUUGUUUUGUCCAUAUCAAUACUCAAAAUAGUAUUCCGUCGUUCGACAAACUGGAACUGCAGAGAGUUGUUAUGGAAACCGGUUAACUUGAGAACGUCCCCAACUCGGUAUCGAUACAGGCCUGGAAAGACAAUUAAAACACUUUAUUAACCAAAACAAAUCUAAUAUUUCAAAUCUAAAACAGGAAAUGGGAAAUAUUACCCGCGAAAGUUGUGACGACAACCUCAUAAUAUUGACCGAGUUUCACAUUUGCAGAAUCAACAGGUUCAACAUUUCCAUUUGCAUUUGUCAUUUCCGACGACCAUUGGCUUGAAACACCAUCAAGAUUGGAUUCUCGAGCCUUCUCUUCCCCAUCUUUAUCCACAGGGAGAAACUCAAAGUAUGCCAUGUUUGGGAGAAAGGUGUAAGCGACAUCGUAGGGGUUGCUUAGAGGAUUUAAAUUGAUCCCGAAAGUAGACUCCGAAGAACCAUAACUUGGUGAAACUAAAGGGAUCCCACCACCAUAAAAAUCAAGCAAUGAAAUGUAUUGGCUCAUGGUACCAGUAAUG